This 468-nucleotide ribosomal RNA is filed under the name uncultured bacterium. Its description in RNAcentral is "partial 16S ribosomal RNA". It matches the Rfam family "Bacterial small subunit ribosomal RNA", at positions 28 to 507 of the family's 1533-position model. The record is from RNAcentral.
GACGAACGCUGGCGGCGUGCUUAACACAUGCAAGUCGAACGGUGAAGCCCUAGCUUGCUGGAGUGGACCAGUGGCGAACGGGUGAGUAACACGUGAGCAACCUGCCCCUGACUCUGGAAUAACUGCUGGAAACGGCGUCUAAUACCGGAUACGAGAUGGGUCUGCAUGGGCACUUUCUGGAAAGUUCUUCGGUUGGGGAUGGGCUCGCGGCGUAUCAGCUUGUUGGUGGGGUAAUGGCUUACCAAGGCGACGACGGGUAGCCGGCCUGAGAGGGCGACCGGCCACACUGGGACUGAGACACGGCCCAGACUCCUACGGGAGGCAGCAGUGGGGAAUAUUGCACAAUGGGCGAAAGCCUGAUGCAGCGACGCCGCGUGAGGGAUGACGGCCUUCGGGUUGUAAACCUCUUUCAGCAGGGAAGAAGCGAAAGUGACGGUACCUGCAGAAGAAGCACCGGCUAACUACGUG